CCUACGGGAGGCAGCAGUGAGGAAUAUUGGUCAAUGGACGAGAGUCUGAACCAGCCAAGUAGCGUGAAGGAUGACUACCCUAUGGGUUGUAAACUUCUUUUAUAUGGGAAUAAAAUGUUCCACGUGUGGGAUUUUGUAUGUACCAUAUGACUAAGGAUCGGCUAACUCCGUGCCAGCAGCCGCGGUAAUACGGAGGAUCCGAGCGUUAUCCGGAUUUAUUGGGUUUAAAGGGAGCGUAGGUGGAUUGUUAAGUCAGUUGUGAAAGUUUGCGGCUCAACCGUAAAAUUGCAGUUGAAACUGGCAGUCUUGAGUACAGUAGAGGUGGGCGGAAUUCGUGGUGUAGCGGUGAAAUGCUUAGAUAUCACGAAGAACUCCGAUUGCGAAGGCAGUUCACUGGACUGCAACUGACACUGAGGCUCGAAAGUGUGGGUAUCAAACAGGAUUAGAUACCCCAGUAGUC
This 460-nucleotide ribosomal RNA is filed under the name uncultured bacterium. RNAcentral's name for it is "partial 16S ribosomal RNA". It matches the Rfam family "Bacterial small subunit ribosomal RNA", at positions 338 to 795 of the family's 1533-position model. The record is from RNAcentral.